CCUACGGGAGGCAGCAGUGGGGAAUAUUGGACAAUGGGCGCAAGCCUGAUCCAGCCAUGCCGCGUGGGUGAUGAAGGCCCUAGGGUUGUAAAGCCCUUUCAGCGGGGAAGAUAAUGACGGUACCCGCAGAAGAAGCCCCGGCUAACUUCGUGCCAGCAGCCGCGGUAAUA
This 170-nucleotide ribosomal RNA is filed under the name uncultured bacterium. Its description in RNAcentral is "partial 16S ribosomal RNA". It matches the Rfam family "Bacterial small subunit ribosomal RNA", at positions 338 to 525 of the family's 1533-position model. The record is from RNAcentral.